GGAAGGGUGAAAAGUACCCCGGGAGGGGAGUGAAAGAGUUCCUGAAACCGGUCGCAUGCAAGCCGUCAGAGCCUGUGUGGUGAUGGCGUGCCUUUUGAAGAAUGAGCCUGCGAGUUAGUGCUAUGUGGCGAGGUUAACCCGUGAGGGGAAUCCGUAGCGAAAGCGAGUCCUAAUAGGGCGAUUGAGUCGCAUGGUCUAGACCCGAAGCGAAGUGAUCUAUCCAUGGCCAGGCUGAAGCGCGGGUAAGACCGCGUGGAGGGCCGAACCCACUUGGGUUGAAAACCGAGGGGAUGAGCUGUGGAUAGGGGUGAAAGGCUAAACAAACCUGGAAAUAGCUGGUUCUCUCCGAAAACUAUUUAGGUAGUGCCUCAAGUAUCACCAUCGGGGGUAGAGCACUGUUAUGGCUAGGGGGUCAUCGCGACUUACCAAACCAUUGCAAACUCCGAAUACCAGUACGUACUAUCCGGGAGACACACGGCGGGUGCUAACGUCCGUCGUGAAAAGGGAAACAACCCAGACCCACAGCUAAGGUCCCAAAUUCACUGCUAAGUGGAAAACGAUGUGGAAAGGCAUAGACAGCCAGGAGGUUGGCUUAGAAGCAGCCACCCUUUAAAGAAAGCGUAAUAGCUCACUGGUCGAGUCGGUCUGCGCGGAAGAUUUAACGGGGCUAAGCAGUGAACCGAAGCUUGGGGUGCGUAAAACUUCGGUUUUAUGCGCGGUAGAGGAGCGUUCCGUAAGCCUGCGAAGGUGGAUUGAGAAGUCUGCUGGAGGUAUCGGAAGUGCGAAUGCUGACAUGAGUAACGAUAAUGCGGGUGAAAAGCCCGCACGCCGAAAGCCCAAGGUUUCCUUGCGCAACGUUAAUCGACGCAGGGUUAGUCGGUCCCUAAGGCGAGGGCGAAAGCCGUAGUCGAUGGGAAGCAGGUUAAUAUUCCUGCACCUCGCGUGAGUGCGAUGGAGGGACGGAGAAGGUUAGGUGUACCGGGCGUUGGUUGUCCCGGGGAAAGGCGGUAGGUUUGGAUCUUUGGCAAAUCCGGGAUCCUUUAAGACCGAGCACCGAGACGAGCCUUUAUGGCGAAGUCACUGAUACCACGCUUCCAGGAAAAGCUCCUAAGCUUCAGCUCACGAAGACCGUACCGUAAACCGACACAGGUGGGUAGGAUGAGAAUACUCAGGCGCUUGAGAGAACUCGGGUGAAGGAACUAGGCAACAUGGCACCGUAACUUCGGGAGAAGGUGCACCCUUUUUGGUGGCUCAUGCGAGCUAUAGCUGAAGAGGGUCGCAGAAACCAGGCCGCUGCGACUGUUUAUCAAAAACACAGCACUCUGCAAACACGAAAGUGGACGUAUAGGGUGUGACGCCUGCCCGGUGCUGGAAGGUUAAUUGAUGGG
RNAcentral lists this ribosomal RNA (1388 nucleotides) under Aurantiochytrium limacinum. Its description in RNAcentral is "partial Bacterial large subunit ribosomal RNA". It matches the Rfam family "Bacterial large subunit ribosomal RNA", at positions 508 to 1888 of the family's 2925-position model. Lineage: Eukaryota; Bigyra; Thraustochytrida; Thraustochytriidae. The record is from RNAcentral.